CUGCUUACCCAGCAGGGGAGAUACCAUGAUCAUGAAAGUGGUUUUCCCAGGGCGAGUCUUAUCCACUGCACUCCGGAUGUGCUGACCCCUGAGAUUUCCCCAGAUGUGGGAAACUCGACUGCAUAAUUUGAAUC
Small nuclear RNA from Erinaceus europaeus (western European hedgehog), 134 nucleotides. Its record names the gene U1. It matches the Rfam family "U1 spliceosomal RNA". From Rfam's summary of the family: U1 is a small nuclear RNA (snRNA) component of the spliceosome (involved in pre-mRNA splicing). Its 5' end forms complementary base pairs with the 5' splice junction, thus defining the 5' donor site of an intron. There are significant differences in sequence and secondary structure between metazoan and yeast U1 snRNAs, the latter being much longer (568 nucleotides as compared to 164 nucleotides in human). NCBI's taxonomy places the organism in Eukaryota, Metazoa, Chordata, Mammalia, Eulipotyphla, Erinaceidae. The record is from Ensembl.